RNAcentral lists this ribosomal RNA (1171 nucleotides) under uncultured Prevotella sp. RNAcentral describes it as "bacterial SSU rRNA". It matches the Rfam family "Bacterial small subunit ribosomal RNA", at positions 328 to 1504 of the family's 1533-position model. Lineage: Bacteria; Pseudomonadati; Bacteroidota; Bacteroidia; Bacteroidales; Prevotellaceae. The record is from RNAcentral.
GGCCCAGACUCCUACGGGAGGCAGCAGUGAGGAAUAUUGGUCGAUGGGCGAGAGCCUGAACCAGCCAAGUAGCGUGCAGGAUGACGGCCCUAUGGGUUGUAAACUGCUUUUAUAAGGGAAUAAAGUGAGUCUCGUGAGACUUUUUGCAUGUACCUUAUGAAUAAGGACCGGCUAAUUCCGUGCCAGCAGCCGCGGUAAUACGGAAGGUCCGGGCGUUAUCCGGAUUUAUUGGGUUUAAAGGGAGCGUAGGCCGGAGAUUAAGCGUGUUGUGAAAUGUAGACGCUCAACGUCUGCACUGCAGCGCGAACUGGUUUCCUUGAGUACGCACAAAGUGGGCGGAAUUCGUGGUGUAGCGGUGAAAUGCUUAGAUAUCACGAAGAACUCCGAUUGCGAAGGCAGCUCACUGGAGCGCAACUGACGCUGAAGCUCGAAAGUGCGGGUAUCGAACAGGAUUAGAUAGCCUGGUAGUCCGCACGGUAAACGAUGGAUGCCCCGCUGUUGGUCUGAAUAGGUCAGCGGCCAAGCGAAAGCAUUAAGCAUCCCACCUGGGGAGUACGCCGGCAACGGUGAAACUCAAAGGAAUUGACGGGGGCCCGCACAAGCGGAGGAACAUGUGGUUUAAUUCGAUGAUACGCGAGGAACCUUACCCGGGGCUUGAAUUGCAGAGGGAAGGAUUUGGAGACAAUGACGCCCUUUCGGGGCCUCUGUGAAGGUGCUGCAUGGGUUGUCGUCAGCUCGUGCCGUGAGGUGUCGGCUUAAGUGCCAUAACGAGCGCAACCCCUCUCCUUAGUUGCCAUCAGUUGAAGCUGGGCACUCUGGGGACACUGCCACCGUAAGGUGUGAGGAAGGUGGGGAUGACGUUAAAUCAGCACGGCCCUUACGUCCGGGGCUACACACGUGUUACAAUGGCAGGUUCAGAGAGACGGUCCCUUGCAAAACGGAUCAAAUCCUUAAAGCCUGUCUCAGUUCGGACUGGGGUCUGCAACCCGACCCCACGAAGCUGGAUUCGCUUGUAAUCGCGCAUCAGCCAUGGCGCGGUGAAUACGUUCCCGGGCCUUGUACACACCGCCCGUCAAGCCAUGAAAGCCGGGGGCGCCUAAAGUCCGUGACCGUAAGGAGCGGCCUAGGGCGAAACUGGUAAUUGGGGCUAAGUCGUAACAAGGUAGCCGUA